Molecule: ribosomal RNA, 497 nt
Filed under: uncultured bacterium
Lineage: Bacteria
Description: partial 16S ribosomal RNA
Rfam family: Bacterial small subunit ribosomal RNA
Source: RNAcentral
GAUGAACGCUGGCGGCGUGCCUAAUACAUGCAAGUCGAGCGAACGGACGAGAAGCUUGCUUCUCUGAUGUUAGCGGCGGACGGAUGAGUAACACGUGGAUAACCUACCUAUAAGACUGGGAUAACUUCGGGAAACCGGUGCUGAUAACGGAUAAUAUUUUGAACCGCAUGGUUCAAAAGUGAAAGACGGCCUUGCUGUUACUUAUAGAUGGAUUCGCGCUGCAUUAGCUAGUUGGUAAGGUAACGGCUUACCAAGGCAACGAUGCAUAGCCGACCUGAGAGGGUGAUCGGCCACACUGGAACUGAGACACGGUCCAGACUCCUACGGGAGGCAGCAGUAGGGAAUCUUCCGCAAUGGGCGCAAGCCUGACGGAGCAACGCCGCGUGAGUGAUGAAGGUCUUCGGAUCGUAAAACUCUUUUAUUAGGGAAGAACAUAUGUGUAAGUAACUGUGCACAUCCUGACGGUACCUAAUCAGAAAGCCACGGCUAACUACGUG